GGGCCCGCACAAGCGGUGGAUUAUGUGGUUUAAUUCGAAGCAACGCGCAGAACCUUACCUAGGCUUGAAAUCCUGCGAAUUCGACGUAAUGGUUGAAGUGCCCUUCGGGGAGCGCAGAGACAGGUGCUGCAUGGCUGUCGUCAGCUCGUGUUGUGAAAUGUUGGGUUAAGUCUCGCAACGAGCGCAACCCCUAUCUUUAGUUGCCAGCAUUAAGUUGGGCACUCUAGAGAGACUGCCUGGGUUAACCAGGAGGAAGGUGGGGAUGACGUCAAGUCCUCAUGGCCCUUAUGUCUAGGGCUACACACGUAAUACAAUGGUACGAACAAAGGGAAGCGAACUCGCGAGGGGGAGCAAAUCUCAAAAAACGUAUCUCAGUCCGGAUUGAAGUCUGCAACUCGACUUCAUGAAGUUGGAAUCGCUAGUAAUCGCGGAUCAGAACGCCGCGGUGAAUACGUUCCCGGGCCUU
Molecule: ribosomal RNA, 466 nt
Filed under: uncultured bacterium
Lineage: Bacteria
Description: bacterial SSU rRNA
Rfam family: Bacterial small subunit ribosomal RNA
Source: RNAcentral